AGCCUUAAGAAACUAUUUAAGGUGACGCCUGCCCAGUGCUAAUUUGUUAACGGCCGCAGUACCCUGACUGUGCUAAGGUAGCAAAAUCAUUUGGCUUUUAAUUGGAGUCGGGAAUGAAUGGAUUAAUGGGGUAAAGCUGUCUCUUUUAUAUUUUAUUGAACUUUCUAACUAGGUGAAAAUGCCUAGAUCAAGAAAAAAGACGAGAAGACCCUAGGAGCUUUCACUAAUUGUCAUAUUAAUUUGGCAAUCGUUUUUGUUGGGGCAACAUAGGAAAACUAGAACUUCCUUUAUUUAUAUGCCGACCUAGUAUGUACAUUUAAGCUACCCUAGGGAUAACAGCGUAAUUCUUCAAGAGCUUGCGACCUCGAUGUUGGACUAGGAAUUUUAUUGGCUAGCCGCCAAUAAAAUAGGUUCUGUUCGAACUAAUUUCC
This 431-nucleotide ribosomal RNA is filed under the name Elysia furvacauda. Its description in RNAcentral is "partial 16S ribosomal RNA". It matches the Rfam family "Bacterial large subunit ribosomal RNA", at positions 1828 to 2596 of the family's 2925-position model. Lineage: Eukaryota; Metazoa; Mollusca; Gastropoda; Plakobranchidae. The record is from RNAcentral.